CACGUAGGGCGCAAGCGUUGUCCGGAAUUAUUGGGCGUAAAGAGCUCGUAGGUGGUCUGUUGCGUCCGCUGUGAAAACUCGGGGCUUAACCCCGAGCCUGCAGUGGAUACGGGCAGACUAGAGGUAGGUAGGGGAGAAUGGAAUUCCUGGUGUAGCGGUGAAAUGCGCAGAUAUCAGGAGGAACACCGGUGGCGAAGGCGGUUCUCUGGGCCUUACCUGACGCUGAGGAGCGAAAGCGUGGGGAGCGAACAGG
RNAcentral lists this ribosomal RNA (253 nucleotides) under uncultured bacterium. RNAcentral describes it as "partial 16S ribosomal RNA". It matches the Rfam family "Bacterial small subunit ribosomal RNA", at positions 524 to 776 of the family's 1533-position model. The record is from RNAcentral.